This 403-nucleotide ribosomal RNA is filed under the name uncultured bacterium. RNAcentral's name for it is "partial 16S ribosomal RNA". It matches the Rfam family "Bacterial small subunit ribosomal RNA", at positions 30 to 526 of the family's 1533-position model. The record is from RNAcentral.
AUUGAACGCUGGCGGCAGGCCUAACACAUGCAAGUCGAGCGAGCGGCGGACGGGUGAGUAAUGUAUGGGGACUGCCCGAUAGAGGGGGAUAACUACUGGAAACGGUAGCUAAUACCGCAUACUAUCGGAUAACCCAUAUGGGAUUAGAUAGUAGGUGAGGUAAUGGCUCACCUAGGCGACGAUCCCUAGCUGGUCUGAGAGGAUGAUCAGCAACAAUGGGACUGAUACACGGCCCGGACUCCUUCGGAGCCAGCAGUGGGGAAGAUUGCACAAGGGGCGCAAGCCUGAUGCGGCCAUGCCGCGUGUAUGAAGAAGGCCCUAGGAUUGUAAAGUACUUUCAGUCGGGAGGCGUUACCGACAGAAGAAGCACCGGCUAACUCCGGGUCAGCAGCCGCGGUAUUUC